Molecule: ribosomal RNA, 418 nt
Filed under: uncultured bacterium
Lineage: Bacteria
Description: bacterial SSU rRNA
Rfam family: Bacterial small subunit ribosomal RNA
Source: RNAcentral
UGGGGAAUAUUGGGCAAUGGGCGAAAGCCUGACCCAGCAACGCCGCGUGAGGGAAGAAGGUUUUCGGAUUGUAAACCUCUGUCCUAAGUGACGAAGGAAGUGACGGUAGCUUAGGAGGAAGCCCCGGCUAACUACGUGCCAGCAGCCGCGGUAAUACGUAGGGGGCGGAGCGUUGUCCGGAAUGACUGGGCGUAAAGGGCGUGUAGGCGGCCGAUUAAGUAUGGAGUGAAAUUCCAGCUUUCAAGGUUGGACUUGCUUUGUAGACUGGUUGGCUUGAGUGCGGAAGAGGUAAGUGGAAUUCCCAGUGUAGCGGUGAAAUGCGUAGAGAUUGGGAGGAACACCAGUGGCGAAGGCGACUUACUGGGCCGUAACUGACGCUGAGGCGCGAAAGCGUGGGGAGCGAACAGGAUUAGAUACC